Molecule: ribosomal RNA, 199 nt
Filed under: uncultured bacterium
Lineage: Bacteria
Description: partial 16S ribosomal RNA
Rfam family: Bacterial small subunit ribosomal RNA
Source: RNAcentral
ACGCUCGACACCUACUGGAGGCAGCAGUAGGGAAUAUUGCGCAAUGGGGGAAACCCUGACGCAGCAACGCCGCGUGGAGGAUGACACUUUUCGGAGCGUAAACUCCUUUUCUUAGGGAAGAAUUCUGACGGUACCUAAGGAAUAAGCACCGGCUAACUCCGUGCCAGUAGCCGCGGUAAUCUGAGCGGGCUGGCAAGGC